GACGAACGCUGGCGGCGUGCCUAAUACAUGCAAGUAGAACGCUGAAGAGAGGAGCUUACUCUUCUUGGAUGAGUUGCGAACGGGUGAGUAACGCGUAGGUAACCUGCCUUGUAGCGGGGGAUAACUAUUGGAAACGAUAGCUAAUACCGCAUAACAAUGGAUGACACAUGUCAUUUAUUUGAAAGGGGCAAUUGCUCCACUACAAGAUGGACCUGCGUUGUAUUAGCUAGUAGGUGAGGUAAUGGCUCACCUAGGCGACGAUACAUAGCCGGCCUGAGAGGGUGAUCGGCCACACUGGGACUGAGACACGGCCCAGACUCCUACGGGAGGCAGCAGUAGGGAAUCUUCGGCAAUGGGGGCAACCCUGACCGAGCAACGCCGCGUGAGUGAAGAAGGUUUUCGGAUCGUAAAGCUCUGUUGUAAGUCAAGAACGGGUGUGAGAGUGGAAAGUUCACACUGUGACGGUAGCUUACCAGAAAGGGACGGCUAACUACGUG
RNAcentral lists this ribosomal RNA (497 nucleotides) under uncultured bacterium. RNAcentral describes it as "partial 16S ribosomal RNA". It matches the Rfam family "Bacterial small subunit ribosomal RNA", at positions 28 to 507 of the family's 1533-position model. The record is from RNAcentral.